This 312-nucleotide long non-coding RNA is filed under the name Ananas comosus (pineapple). Its description in RNAcentral is "long non-coding RNA (ACOM_LNC042140)". The record is from RNAcentral. Lineage: Eukaryota; Viridiplantae; Streptophyta; Magnoliopsida; Poales; Bromeliaceae.
UGUGUGUAUAUAUAUAAUUAGGUUACUAUACUAUUAAUAGCACCAAAUUAUACAUUGAUACUAUUAGGUUUUCGAUUCUUAAAUGAAAGAAAUAUACGGUUAGAAUGAUAAUAAUCUCAUAGGGUUGAGUGGUAGUUGAUUGAAUAGUAUGAUUUAACAGGUAAAAAUAAUUAAAGAGCUGAAUAAAUAUAACAACAUAAAAUUUGAUAGUACUUAGUUGAUAACAUAGUAGCCGAACUAUACGCAAAAUUUAUUGUCUAAAUGAAUAAAACAGGUAGCGUACUAUAUUUUUCUCAAAAAAAAAAAAAAAAA